AUAUGUUGGUUCAAGCCUGUAGUCGUGCCUGGUAGGUAAAUCCGCCGGGCUUAGAUGAGGGGUGAUAACGAGGCUGCUUGCAGCCGAAGUGAGUGAUACCCUGCUUCCAGGAAGAGCCACUAAGCUUCAGCUACACACGACCGUACCGCAAACCGACACUGGUGCGCGAGAUGAGUAUUCUAAGGCGCUUGAGAGAACUCAGGAGAAGGAACUCGGCAAAUUGACACCGUAACUUCGGAAGAAGGUGUGCCUUUAGUAGGUGAAGUCCCUCGCGGAUGGAGCCCAAUGAGGUUGCAAAAAAUCGGUGGCUGCGACUGUUUAUUAAAAACACAGCACUCUGCAAACACGAAAGUGGACGUAUAGGGUGUGGCGCCUGCCCGGUGCUGGAAGAUUAAAUGAUGGGGUGCAAGCUCUUGAUUGAAGUCCCAGUAAACGGCGGCCGUAACAAUAACGGUCCUAAGGUAGCGAAAUUCCUUGUCGGGUAAGUUCCGACCUGCACGAAUGGCGUAACGAUGGCCACACUGUCUCCUCCUGAGACUCAGCGAAGUUGAAAUGUUUGUGAUGAUGCAAUCUCCCCGCGGAAAGACGGAAAGACCCCAUGAACCUUUACUGUAGCUUUGUAUUGGACUUUGAACAGAUCUGUGUAGGAUAGGUGGGAGGCUUUGAAGCAGGGUCGCUAGAUCUUGUGGAGCCAACGUUGAAAUACCACCCUGGUGUGUUUGAGGUUCUAACCUAGGUCCAUUAUCUGGAUCGGGGACAGUGCAUGGUAGGCAGUUUGACUGGGGCGGUCUCCUCCCAAAGUGUAACGGAGGAGUUCGAAGGUACGCUAGGUACGGUCGGACAUCGUGCUAAUAGUGCAAUGGCAUAAGCGUGCUUAACUGCGAGACUGACAAGUCGAGCAGAUGCGAAAGCAGGACAUAGUGAUCCGGUGGUUCUGUAUGGAAGGGCCAUCGCUCAACGGAUAAAAGGUACUCUGGGGAUAACAGGCUGAUACCGCCCAAGAGUUCAUAUCGACGGCGGUGUUUGGCACCUCGAUGUCGGCUCAUCUCAUCCUGGGGCUGUAGCCGGUCCCAAGGGUAUGGCUGUUCGCCAUUUAAAGAGGUACGUGAGCUGGGUUUAAAACGUCGUGAGACAGUUUGGUCCCUAUCUUCCGUGGGCGCUGCAGAUUUGAGGAAGCCUGCUCCUAGUACGAGAGGACCGGAGUGGACACACCUCUGGUGUAUCGGUUGUCACGCCAGUGGCAUUGCCGAGUAGCUAAGUGUGGAAGAGAUAACCGCUGAAAGCAUCUAAGCGGGAAACUCGUUUCAAGAUGAGAUCUGCCGGGGCCUUGAGCCCCCUGAAGAGUCGUUCAAGACCAGGACGUUGAUAGGUCGGGUGUGGAAGCGCAGUAAUGCGUUAAGCUAACCGAUACUAAUUGCUCGUGCGACUUGAC
This 1432-nucleotide ribosomal RNA is filed under the name metagenome. RNAcentral describes it as "bacterial LSU rRNA". It matches the Rfam family "Bacterial large subunit ribosomal RNA", at positions 1502 to 2925 of the family's 2925-position model. The record is from RNAcentral.